Long non-coding RNA from Rosa chinensis, 319 nucleotides. RefSeq lists it as uncharacterized. Lineage: Eukaryota; Viridiplantae; Streptophyta; Magnoliopsida; Rosales; Rosaceae. The record is from RefSeq and is a predicted model, not a curated record. The transcript is spliced from 3 exons.
UGCGGCGUUCCUUUCAAAGAUGUGGUCUGCUUUGUUAGAACUGGCGGUGGCCUUGGUGUUGGCUGUGUUAAUCGAGGCGAUGGAUUGUGGGUAGGUUGUCAGUGCAGCAUCAUCGAUCAUGGACUUGUAGGAGCAAUGGUGGAGGGCGGCGACUUCCGAAUGAUGGUGCUCAAAUCCAAUGUCAGAGCAAAGCAAAUUUGCUCAGCAUGAAUGGGCUUCCUCUCUCAGUCAAGCUUGGGGAGCAGCUUAAGUUUCUUCCUGAUCAAAUGAAAGAUAUGUUCAACAUAAAAGGGGCAAGAACUUUCCACUUUGUGUGAAG